UGGCGCCUACGGGGGGCAGCAGUGAGGAAUAUUGGUCAAUGGGCGGGAGCCUGAACCAGCCAAGUCGCGUGAAGGAAGAAGGUACUUAGUAUUGUAAACUUCUUUUGUCGGGGAACAAAGGCGGAGACGCGUCUCCGGAUGAGUGUACCCGAAGAAAAAGCAUCGGCUAACUCCGUGCCAGCAGCCGCGGUAAUACGGAGGAUGCGAGCGUUAUCCGGAUUUAUUGGGUUUAAAGGGUGCGCAGGCGGAAGAUCAAGUCAGCGGUAAAAUUGAGAGGCUCAACCUCUU
This 288-nucleotide ribosomal RNA is filed under the name uncultured bacterium. Its description in RNAcentral is "partial 16S ribosomal RNA". It matches the Rfam family "Bacterial small subunit ribosomal RNA", at positions 333 to 618 of the family's 1533-position model. The record is from RNAcentral.